This is a non-coding RNA of Triticum aestivum (bread wheat), 118 nucleotides long. NCBI's taxonomy places the organism in Eukaryota, Viridiplantae, Streptophyta, Magnoliopsida, Poales, Poaceae. The record is from Rfam.
AGGUAGCAUCCAAAAGAUAAGAUGCCUACCCGAUACGGUAUUCCUAGAGUAAAAUUAUAAUUUCCUGCUCGUGGUAUUGUAAGCAGGUUCUGCAAGUCUCAAAUGAUAAGGCAGCUGA